GGAUCCACUAAUAAUAUACUGACGCUGAUGGACGAAAGCGUAGGUAGCGAACAGGAUUAGAUACCCCUGGUAGUCUAACGCCGUAAACGAUGGUUACUAGCUGUUCGGCCCGAAUUAAGGGCUGAGUGGUUAAGCGAAAGUGAUAAGUAACCCAACCUGGGGAGUACGUUCGCAAGAAAUGAAAACUCAAAGGAAUUGACGGGGGCCCGCACAAAGCGGUGGAGCAUGUGGUUUAAUUCGAUGAUACGCGAGGAACCUUACCAGGGCUUAAAUGUAGUCUGACAGGAGUGGAAACACUUUUUUCUUCGGACAGAUUACAAGGUGCUGCAUGGUUGUCGUCAGCUCGUGCCGUGAGGUGUCAGGUUAAGUCCUAUAACGAGCGCAACCCCUGUGGUUAGUUGCCAGCGAGUAAUGUCGGGAACUCUAGCCAGACUGCCGGUGCAAACCGCGAGGAAGGUGGGGAUGACGUCAAAUCAUCACGGCCCUUACGUCCUGGGCCACACACGUGCUACAAUGGUAGGGACAGAGAGCAGCCACUUCGCGAGAAGGAGCGAAUCUACAAACCCUAUCACAGUUCGGAUCGCAGUCUGCAACUCGACUGCGUGAAGCUGGAAUCGCUAGUAAUCGCAUAUCAGCCAUGAUGCGGUGAAUACGUUCCCGGGCCUUGUACACACCGCCCGUCAAGCCAUGGAAGCCGGGGGUACCUGAAGUCGGUCACCGCAAGGAGCCGCCUAGGGUAAAACUGGUAACUGGGGCUAAGUCGUAACAAGGUAGCCGU
This 778-nucleotide ribosomal RNA is filed under the name uncultured Salegentibacter sp. Its description in RNAcentral is "bacterial SSU rRNA". It matches the Rfam family "Bacterial small subunit ribosomal RNA", at positions 722 to 1503 of the family's 1533-position model. Lineage: Bacteria; Pseudomonadati; Bacteroidota; Flavobacteriia; Flavobacteriales; Flavobacteriaceae. The record is from RNAcentral.